GCCUCGGAGGCGGCGGAAAAAAGAAGAAAAAGAAAAAAAGACGUCGGAAGCCUCAGCUCUGCCGAGUCGACGCAUCGACCCCUUCUUCUUAUAAAUUUCCAUUUCCCCCUCGAUUCAACCUGCCUCCCCAAAAUCCCACUCGAUCCCCAGUUCGAUUCCGCCCCUUCCUCGAAUCUCUACCUGUUCGUCCUCUCGAGAAGGAUCCCCAUUCGAUUCCCCCUCUUCCUCCCUCUACCUAUUCGUCCUGAGCAUGGACAGCAAUCUGCGAGAUUCGCUGCUCCCGGCGGGCGUUUGCAGCGGCGACGACAUCACGGUGACGCCACCAGCCGGGACCUCGCGUUCGCUGCUUGACGCGGGCUAGAACAGCCUUGUGUCCACGGGGUCCUCGUCGCCACCACCUGCAGCCGGGUUACCUGGCCGCGGCCAGAUUUCUCCGAUGAGUCAAGAAAACGGAACCCGGGUUCUCAGCAGCGGAACUUCGCCUCCUUCCUUCCUCUCAUCUGCAUUUGGAGUUUGGCCGCGUUCUUUCGGCAGGCGGCGGCGAAGGAUGCUGCAGCUCCCGGUAUCUGCUCCGCGCCGCAGUUGUUUUGAUGGGCUCCACGAGUUCAUCCAGGAGCAUCGUCAGAAGGGUUCACGGCUUGAUUCUCUUGGUGCUGAGAAGGUGAUCGGAAUAUUUGGCUUCUGUCUGUUUGGAUCCCUGUCACUCUUGCCGUCCACCAUGGACCGCGUCAAGGAUUUGGGUUACAGAGGCAUCUUUAUGCUGAUAUUUGGUUCCAUUUUGGGUGCUGGCGAGCGUCGGUGUCAUGUGCGGACUGAACGGCAAGACAGAUUUUGAGCAGGCCGUAUGCAGGCAUACCGGCCGGCUCGGUGUUCUUGGUUUAGCCGUAUUAGUCGUCUUCCACGUCGGAUGGAUACUCCCUUCCAACAACGUAGCGGGCUUCUAUGUCAUGUUGGUUGUGGCCGUGAUACUUCACUGUCUGUCAUGGUUAAUGAGCUGCAUGGUUGGGGAGGACAGGAUCGAUGGCACCACGACACCAGAGGCGCAGCAGCAUCAACAGUAGAGAAAGGCACGCGGGUGAAAUGCAGUCUAACACCUUCAGUCACCGGAUGUAGCACUAUGUGGAGGGCUUUGUAGAUAGAUAGCAAACACUAUGAGCGCCGGUAAUGAAGUACAAAUGUACUCGGAGAAUGGAGCAGAUGGUUCAUUGCAUGCUGCCCAAUGUAAAACAUGUCAGCAAUUUGUUCAAACUAGCAAAACUGCAGGUACAUAAAACUUGCCUGGAUCGAACAAUCACCAGGCAAAUAACAAUGGGAAUUUUCCCAAAGACCACUUAGUGAACAAUCACAUCCAUUUUGCCUCGU
Long non-coding RNA from Brachypodium distachyon (stiff brome), 1362 nucleotides. RefSeq lists it as uncharacterized. NCBI's taxonomy places the organism in Eukaryota, Viridiplantae, Streptophyta, Magnoliopsida, Poales, Poaceae. The transcript has 4 exons. The record is from RefSeq and is a predicted model, not a curated record.